RNAcentral lists this ribosomal RNA (632 nucleotides) under uncultured Vibrio sp. RNAcentral describes it as "bacterial SSU rRNA". It matches the Rfam family "Bacterial small subunit ribosomal RNA", at positions 56 to 669 of the family's 1533-position model. Lineage: Bacteria; Pseudomonadati; Pseudomonadota; Gammaproteobacteria; Vibrionales; Vibrionaceae. The record is from RNAcentral.
UGCAGUCGAGCGGAAACGACACUAACAAUCCUUCGGGUGCGUUAAUGGGCGUCGAGCGGCGGACGGGUGAGUAAUGCCUAGGAAAUUGCCUUGAUGUGGGGGAUAACCAUUGGAAACGAUGGCUAAUACCGCAUAAUGCCUACGGGCCAAAGAGGGGGACCCUCGGGCCUCUCGCGUCAAGAUAUGCCUAGGUGGGAUUAGCUAGUUGGUGAGGUAAUGGCUCACCAAGGCGACGAUCCCUAGCUGGUCUGAGAGGAUGAUCAGCCACACUGGAACUGAGACACGGUCCAGACUCCUACGGGAGGCAGCAGUGGGGAAUAUUGCACAAUGGGCGAAAGCCUGAUGCAGCCAUGCCGCGUGUAUGAAGAAGGCCUUCGGGUUGUAAAGUACUUUCAGUUGUGAGGAAGGGGGUAGUGUUAAUAGCGCUAUCUCUUGACGUUAGCAACAGAAGAAGCACCGGCUAACUCCGUGCCAGCAGCCGCGGUAAUACGGAGGGUGCGAGCGUUAAUCGGAAUUACUGGGCGUAAAGCGCAUGCAGGUGGUUCAUUAAGUCAGAUGUGAAAGCCCGGGGCUCAACCUCGGAACUGCAUUUGAAACUGGUGAACUAGAGUACUGUAGAGGGGGUAGAAUUC